RNAcentral lists this ribosomal RNA (324 nucleotides) under Triticum aestivum (bread wheat). RNAcentral describes it as "partial small subunit ribosomal RNA". The record is from RNAcentral. Lineage: Eukaryota; Viridiplantae; Streptophyta; Magnoliopsida; Poales; Poaceae.
AUGGUACCUAAUUCAGUUGAGGAUGAGAAUGCAGAUGCUCAAACAAGGAAGAAACCUAAUACGUAUGCAAGCUUCUUGGAGGAUGCAAACACAGAGUUAUACCCUGGAUGUAAAGCAUUUUCUAAGUUGUCAUUUCUCAUCACCUUGUAUCACAUGAAAUGCUUACAUGGAUGGUCACAAGAAUCAUUUACAACGCUACUUGGUGUUUUGUCUGAUGCACUUCCACAGGCACAACUACCAAAGAAGUACUAUGAGGUACAACAAAUCAUCCGUGGCUUAGGCCUUGACUACGAGAAAAUUCAUGCAUGCCCCAAUGAUUGCAUG